UACGUAGUGGGCUAGCGUUGUCCGGAAUCAUUGGGCGUAAAGAGCGCGUAGGCGGCCAGAUAAGUCCGGUGUGAAAGUCAAAGGCUCAACCUUUGAAUGCCGCUGGAAACUGUCUGGCUAGAGUCCGGGAGGGGCGAGUGGAAUUCCUGGUGUAGCGGUGAAAUGCGCAGAUAUCAGGAGGAACACCAAUGGCGAAGGCAGCUCGCUGGAACGGUACUGACGCUGAGGCGCGAAAGCGUGGGGAGCGAACAGG
This 253-nucleotide ribosomal RNA is filed under the name uncultured bacterium. Its description in RNAcentral is "partial 16S ribosomal RNA". It matches the Rfam family "Bacterial small subunit ribosomal RNA", at positions 524 to 776 of the family's 1533-position model. The record is from RNAcentral.